Molecule: ribosomal RNA, 491 nt
Filed under: uncultured bacterium
Lineage: Bacteria
Description: partial 16S ribosomal RNA
Rfam family: Bacterial small subunit ribosomal RNA
Source: RNAcentral
AGUGAACGCUGGCGGUAUGCCUAACACAUGCAAGUCGAACGGCAGCACAGUAAGCGCUUGCUCUUACGGGUGGCGAGUGGCGGACGGGUGAGGAAUACAUCGCAAUCUACUUUUUCGUGGGGGAUAACGUAGGGAAACUGACGCUAAUACCGCAUACGACCUACGGGUUAGAUCAGGGGAUCUUCGGACUUUUCGCGAUUGAAUGAGCCGAUGUCGCAUUAGCUUGUUGGCGGGGUAAAGGCACACCAGGGCGACGAUCCGUAGCUGAUCUGAGGGGAUGAUCGGCCACACUGAAACUGAGACACGGUCCAGACCCCUAGGGGAGGCAGCGGUGGGAAAUUUCGGCAAAUGGGCGAAAGCCUGCUCCAGAAAUACGGGGUGGGUGAAGAAGGCCUCCGGGUGGUAAAGCCUUUUUGUAGGGAAAGAAAAGUAUCAGAUUAAUACCCCGCUGUUUGGAGGGUACUAAAAAGAUAAGCACCGGCAACCUUCGU